CCUUGACAUACUAAGAACUUUCCAGAGAUGGAUUGGUGCCUUCGGGAACUUAGAUACAGGUGCUGCAUGGCUGUCGUCAGCUCGUGUCGUGAGAUGUUGGGUUAAGUCCCGCAACGAGCGCAACCCUUUUCCUAUUUGCCAGCGGGUCAUGCCGGGAACUUUAAGGAUACUGCCAGUGACAAACUGGAGGAAGGCGGGGACGACGUCAAAUCAUCAUGGCCCUUACGGCCAGGGCUACACACGUGCUACAAUGGUCGGUACAAAGGGUUGCUACCUCGCGAGAGGAUGCUAAUCUCAAAAAGCCGAUCGUAGUCCGGAUCGCAGUCUGCAACUCGACUGCGUGAAGUCGGAAUCGCUAGUAAUCGCGGAUCAGAAUGCCGCGGUGAAUACGUUCCCGGGCCUUGUACACACCGCCCGUCACACCAUGGGAGUUUGUUGCACCAGAAGUAGGUAGUCUAACCGCAAGGAGGACGCUUACCACGGUGUGGCCGAUGACUGGGGUGAAGUCGUAACAAGGUAAGCGUAGAUGA
This 530-nucleotide ribosomal RNA is filed under the name uncultured bacterium. Its description in RNAcentral is "bacterial SSU rRNA". It matches the Rfam family "Bacterial small subunit ribosomal RNA", at positions 979 to 1509 of the family's 1533-position model. The record is from RNAcentral.